Homo sapiens (human) is the source of this 15523-nucleotide long non-coding RNA. RefSeq annotates it as RORA antisense RNA 5. The record is from RefSeq and is a predicted model, not a curated record. NCBI's taxonomy places the organism in Eukaryota, Metazoa, Chordata, Mammalia, Primates, Hominidae. The transcript has 5 exons.
GGCUGGAGUGCAGUGGCGCAUCCUGGCUCACUGCAAGCUCCACCUCCCGGAUUCACGCCAUUCUCCUGCCUCAGCCUCCCAAGUAGCUGGGACUACAGGAACCUGCCACUACACCCAGCCUCAACUGAAUAGCAGAGAGAUUUUGGCUUUCAUUCCAGAAUGAUGUCUCACAGAAAGUCAACUCGUGUUCCAGGGCACGAGUAAAGAUAUCAACCCAUCUAUCUGUAGAAAAUUGCCAGAAACUGUCACAAAAUAAAAAAUGAGAGAAGGCCUGAAUUACGACAGUCCUGGUGGGGUUCUACAAGGCAGCAUGAGGGAGAGGAGAGAGGACUAUUUUACCAAGAUUUUAAGACUUUCAAACAACCAGGGAAGGCUUCUGUGGACAGGCUGUCUCUGCACUAGGACUAAAGAACCAGAACUGUUCAGAAAGAGAGAAGAGCCCAGCACCUUAUACUCAGGAGAUACUGAAAAACAUCAUAUAAGGUGUUUACUGUUGAGAGAAAAGUACACAUCAGAGGAUGCCCAUUAUUGAUAUAGAGCCUUCUCUGUAUCUGGAUGAACGUGACCAGGAAGCCACCCUCAGCCUGCUGCAGCUGUUUUCAGAAUCUGUGGGAUCACACCCCAGAGGCAGUUGGGUCAGCCGCAGGCAUCAGGUGAGGAGGAGGAAGAGUGAGACAGCUAUUACAGGCUGCCGGACCAGGUGGCUGUGAAGAGGUGUGGGGACACCAAGGCUUAUAUAAGGAGGAUGGAGAACACAGGCCAAAGGGGAGGCUGUAAUGCUGACUUCGAUUGGCUAACUUAAUAUAAGGCAGACUGAGGGAGGAGGAGGAGGGCAGGAGAGAACACGCUUUAGAAAGCAUGACGGUGUCUCAUUCUGUUUGCAAGUGAGCACGUAGGUGCCUUCCAAAUAUGAUCCUGAAGAAGGUGCAGAUAAAUGAAAAAUUGGAUAUACAAUAAACCACAUACCUCUUUAUGUUUAUAUAUGAACAUAUUAAAGAAGGUUGGCUUUAGUAGAGUAUGAUGCAUAUUCUAAUUAUAUCAAUAUUGGAUGCAUUGUUAGUACCAUUUCUCAACUUCAUUUAAAAAUCACUUUCAGAAAAUACAAAAAAUAAUUCUGAAGAUUUUAACCUUAGGUGCCCGUAGAUCAUUUUCUUAGGAAACUGCAGCUUUUAGAAAUGCUGGACAUACUUUAUCCAAAGCGUUAUAACUGGUCUUCCACAAGCCUAGGAUAAAGUUUUCCACAGAAACACUACUACAGAAAAAUGCCACAUGCCAUGGAUUAAACACUGAAACCAGCUAAUCACAACACAUGAGAGCAAAUGUAGCAUGUUCAGAGAAGUACAAAUAUGUUGAAACAUGUCUGUCAUGAAAUCUGAUCUUAACAAUCCUCUGAAGACUAGCCUUUUUGCAAAGAGAACUUAUGACUAAUAUACCUCACGGAGGGGGUCUCAGUUUCUAAUAGAGUUAAUUUUAUCUGCUUUGAUGAUGGAAACGAAAGACACCCUGGAAACAUCCUCUUAAUUCUAAGCACCAUCCACUCUUUUUGAGGGGGGAGAGGGAAGCUUUCAGUAAUUCCCAGUGUGUCUUAUACUGAAUAUAUAGAAGAUGGUAAAGCAGGGCCAGGUAAUUCCAACACUUAAACUGCUACUUAACCAUCCACAUAUUAAAGGAGUUUACAUGGAUUGUCAGCUAUGAAAGAGGUUUCUCAAUCUAUAUCCCACUCCACAGUCAACUCUCCUCACAGGUGCUCUUGGCUGUGGGGCACUCAUAAUCUCAGAAGCCGAUAAGGCUGCCAAGUUCAAGUUGCCGUGACUCUGAACACAGUAUAAUAUUCCCAUUCCAAGCCAUAGCCCGUCACUUUUGUGGCUGUUCAGAUGAGGGCCCUUCUUGGUACCACUCUGACUCACAUACACUGGCUGAAGUCAUGUAGCAGGUGAAGGACUUAAGUGUCACUAAGUUGGUUUCCAGUUGCUUCCAGGAAAAAAAAAAAAAAUCCCCGGCAUAUAAGAUUCUUGCUCCUGACACCUGGCACUUUCUCCUUGUGUUCAUGGCUGCAGACAGAAGAUCUGGCCAUUACUGUUUUGGCUUCAAGUGCUGCCUCCCACACACAUAUUGAGGGGCUCUGCAACAAACAGAAACCUAGGGACACUGACAUUUUGGAGGCAGGGUGUAGAAAAAAACACUGUAUGUGUAUCUGAAAACUCUGCCAUGCAUGUCAGCCCUGACACGCCACUUCCUAGCUCUUCUAACGUCAGAACAUUCUGUGUUAGGAGUUGCUAAUCAGUCCAAUAUCAUAUGUAGUUUAACGGUGUUGAAACACAUUUGCCAGAAAGGAGGCCAAAAGGAAGGGCCCCUCUACUGCUAUCUUCUGCAAAAGAUCUGAUCACUUGUGACUGCAGCCCCUCACUUUGCCCCCAGGUGUUUUCUCCCUGUGUUGUUCUUGGGCGUGUUUAAUUUGGAUUGAGCAUCCAUGGAGCUGUGUAAACAUUGAGGUCCCAUGAAUAUUGCAAUAUUAAACAGCAGUGGUAAUUACCAAUAGACCCCUCAAAAAGCAAUCGAAUAGCAAACUCACCUUAACUUGGCCUUUGUAUCUCUGGCAACGGAAAGCUCAAAAUGCAGUUCUGUCAUUUUUGCACAGUCAUUUACCUUGACACCCUCCCUCUGCCGUGGAAUCAAAUCUCCAUGUAUAAAAAUAAACCUAGAAACUUUCUGUUCACACGUUUUGAGGUAUGUGCACCAAAUGACACACUUUGGGAGGUAAGCACGAGUCAUGGUAACUGACCACAUCCUUUAUCUUUUCAUCCUAAGACUUAGCAGAACUUUAUCUUUACAAUAAAAUGGCCUUUAGAAGUGGGUAUCACCAACUUCAGAAUGUGAACAUCGUUACUGAGAAAAAGCAUUUUCCUUUUAAACAGAAACCAACAGCCAUGCAUUAAAAGGCCUGAGGAAAAAAAAAAAAGUGGAGCUACCACAAAACAAACAAAUAUUCAGCUUGGUUUCAGGAAGCUUAGAGAGGAUCAAACAAGGCUUUCUCUAUUGAAGUUGUUCGAGAACAUUUAUGGUUAUUUCAGCUUCAGUUUCUAUUUACGCUGCUGGCUUUUAUGCCUCGACCUCAGGAGGGCAUUCCAACUUCAGGUUAACUCACAAGUAGCUUCAGAAAAGUUGGCCUGAAAAUCCCACCCCCAGAGUGGGGGAGGGGAAAGCACGAUGGUUCACAUUGGUUUCCAAACACCUUUCAAACCACUGCUUUGGCCUUGAGUCGAGGAUAUCUCAAAAAUUGGGGAGAGAAAUUCCACGGAGAGAGGGUGAGAAAGGUUUCUCAUGGUGUGAACAUUCAUAUAGGGAGACUGUCUCUUCCUGCGGGAUGAAACCAGGAGAAGAGAGCACCAAUUUGCGGAGCCCUCGUGAAGGUUUCCACUCAGGAGUUUGCAAUUUUCUGUUGGUCCCUAGGGAGGAAGAUUUAGUACAUGGUUGAAUUUCCAAGCAAAUUAACUUCCAGAAUAAAGGAGGAACUAUGCCAACCCUUUGCAAACAAUAUUUUUGUUUUAUAAAUCUAUUUAGUUUUCAAUUCUUCGUGCCAUUUAUCCUCAUAACCAUGUUUUGGUUGGUAUUUUUAAUCCCCUUUUGAUGGAUUAGGAAAUUGAGGUUUAGAGAUUAAGAAACAAGCCCAAAGUUAUACAAUAAAUACAUAGAAAAGCUAAGAUUCAAACCCGGGUCCUUUUGCCUCUAAUGUCCGAGUCCCUUCCAAUACGCCACACAGCCCCUGACCACUCCCUUCCGUUAACAAUGCAUAUUGUCAGCGGUGGAAAGAGGAAGAAACUUUUGGAGUAGAAUACUGAACAGUUUUGAUUAGGGAGCGGAUGUGAGGCAGAGGAAAUAUUAUCACUUUGGUGGUUGUUACUAUGUCCCCAUCCUUUCAUGGAAACAUAUGGAAGUUUUCUCUUAAACGUACAUGUCAGAACUUGCCGGUGAAAUUUAAGUGACACCCUGCAUAUGGUGCAAGUUCAUCUCCGAGAAGCAAGAGAUGAAAAAGCCGCUGUUUCCAGAUGUAUCAAAUCUCAUAUAAAUACCACACGUUGCUUGCCUCUGGAGAAGGUCUCAGUAAGGUUUGUCCAGAUUUCAACAUAGAGUAUUCCUAUUUACAUAUGUCCCGCUGCAUACAUACUUAGCUAUGUCAAUAUCCACUUGGCAUACUCUGGAGCUUAGAAAAAGUUUCCUGCCGAAGCUGAACAGCUUCCCUUGAUUGCUCCUUUGCAAACCUUCAUGGUUUUUUCAUUGUAACAGAUUUUUGAUUACACAAAACAUGCCACUAUUCUAUGGAACAAAAUCAAGCUACAUCCCUUUACCCAACCGCCCUUCCCCCAUAACAUCAAUACCAAAAAGGCUUCCACUCCAGGGGGCUUCUGGGAGCAUUCCCACAAACCACACAGCUUUCUGCACCCUCCUUCAGCCCCAGUCUUUUUAAAAGUUAGUACAACAUGUCCAUAAAGGCCACUCUCCCUUGCAGAGUUUUGAACAGCCACUUUAGCCACCUAAAUCUGAGAGAGAUAAAUUUACAAUCCACUUUAGGUUUAUGUGGGGAACCAUAAAUAUCAGGCUUGAGCCCUGAGGGCUAGAAUUUCAUGGGCCGUUAAGCAUGUCACCAGGUGGAAAGCUGUCAAUAGCUGGAUGUGAGCUACACUGAGAUAACCACAGGGGCCUGGCUUAAGAAAGUGUAGCCCUGAUCAAAGAGGGGUGUCCUUUUACCUUGUUCCAUCACUCCACUCACCAAUUCUCCCUUCCCGCCUCUGAUCUCAACCUCUCCUUCACUUCCUGUUAGGUGUCCUCUGUGCUAGGUAGCAGACUGCCUUUUUUUUUUUUUCCUCUAGAGUGAAAGGUUGGGUGACAUAUGGAAAGAACAAGAGACGUGCAGUUCUGGCAGACCUUGAUUUAAAUCCUCGCCCUGCUAUUUAGUAGCUAUGUAAUAAUGCACAAGUUACUUAACCCAACUUAGCUCAUUUUUCCAACUGUGAAAUUAUUAAAGAUAAUUAAAAGCAUAAGAAAGGCAUAAGUAGGGCCAAUGGGUAGAGACUGUAAAAAAACAGAUUGCCUACUUAGUAGACAGAAGAACUUUCUAAAAGCCAGAUUGGCUCGAAAAUAGAAUGGGCUGCCUUGAAAAGAAAUGAAGAAGUGAAUAUUCUCUGUGACAGGUUUUGCGCAUAAGCCGGAUGCAGGGUGGUAGAUCCCGAGAAUAGACAGGAGUUUAGACUGGCCACUGCAAAGGAUUUCUAAUCUUGAAAUUCCAUGGUUCUAUGAUUUGCAUAUGUGUCCUUCCAGAAAAGCUAAGAUAAAUCUUCUCAAAUCCCCUAUGCGGAAGAAAAGUAAAUUGGCAUCAUAUUUUUUCAUUUUCAUUUUCCUUCUAGAAAACUAAUCCCUUCCAUGUUUUCCCCCUUCCCUCAAUUAGUUGGUAGAGAAUCCCAUUUCCAUCAAGUGCACAGAACACAUUUAACCAUUUUGAAACACUUAACAUUUAACACAAACCACAUGGCCGUAAGUUUUAAUUAGUUCCCGCUAUACAAAUAGGUCCAUUUUUAGAAAAAUCAAAAUGCUCAAUGCUGGUGCUUGCUCUCUUCCUCUCCAUUGUUUCUCUGUUUGACUAGCUCAGUGGCACUUUCCCAUCCUGCCCUCUUGCUGUCUGAGCCCAUGGCACCUGCCAAUAAAAGUGAUGACAGGCUUUGAUGCUCACACAGGUUUGCAACAACAGAGUUCACUUCAUAAUCACCAGACUUCAGCCCGUAAGCGUGAUCUGAGUGACACUGGAUUUUUUACCUGAGAUGUUACGCUGUGGGCUUUCGUUUCUACAGGUUAUGAACCACUUUGAAAGUGAUUUUUUUAGCUUGCUAGGGGGAAUGACCUAUGAGCCUGCAGACAAAUCUCAACUGAUUGGGCAAAGCCCAAACCCUUAUUAGAGUGCUUGAGUUUGCUGGGAAAACUGGCUGCCACAUAUGAGCCACAGAUACAAGGUCGUCCUUUGGCAUAAUGUGUACAGGUGCAUGCGUGUGUGUGUGUGUGUGUGUGUGUGUGUGUGCGUAUUUGAACAUGUUCAGGUCAUGAAGCAAAUCAGAAGUACAAACCAGUGUCUUCUGUUUGGCCAAAGUGAAUAUCAAGGGAAACCACAGAAGACAAAGUGCACUCGUACAACAAGGAGUGAUGGGAGGGCUAAGCCUAGGGCUCCCGUCCUCACCCUCAUCACAAAGUGACUGCUAUGAAUGACUGCAUGUUGAUUGGCCAGGCAUGGAGGAAGCACAUACUUAUACCAACAUGUUAUUUAUUCGGCCAGAUAUUAUUAUCUUACUUUUACGGAUAAGACUCAAAAAGAUUAAAUAACCUGCCCACAGCCACAUUACUUGUAGGUGGUUGUGAUGGAAGUUGAGCCCAUGGUAAUGGACUUUUCAUGGCACUGUCUACUUUCAGAGGCUUUCUCAGCUCAGAGUCCGACUGUGUCUGCCUCUCAAGCCCUGUUUCAGCCACCUUGUCUCAUUUUUUUUUUACUCUGAUAUCAUAUUUCCUACAAAUAGUGGCCAAAUUCUUCCUUCUCCAUGUUGGCUGUCUUAUUUGCCUAAUGUUAUGAUUUGUGUUUCAGAUACCCUAGGGUAUCAUGUUUUUCAUCUUUUGAGUGUCCAAAACUACAAACAGCUUUAGGGUCAAUUAAAAUCUCAACAGGAGCAAGGAUUCUAUCAGGAGACCCUGACCUUUGCAGCCAACACUUUACAUGAAGAAGCAGCUUCUCUUCUUCUCCCGUGAAGGCCGCCUCUUUAGAUAGCUGGGAUUUAGCAUGCCUGUCAUUUUAGUCAAAGGAGCUGCUGAAUAAAGACUUGUUGACCAAAGCUUCUCACCGGCUAAGGACAGAGAAGUCUUAUUUCUUCUCUUUGCAAAUGAAGAUUCCAAUCUUCUCAUCCUGAGACAGGGGUAAUGCAACUGUUUUGAUUUGUACCCUAAAAUGUUCCAUGGUACACUGAACUGUUUUCAAGGUAGAGUUUUAGAAGAGGCCGAUUUAUUUUUGACCUUGACACAAUUUGAAUUUAACAAACAUUUUUCCCAUAUUUCACUUUACACAUUUGUUUGCACUGAAACUGCAUGACUAGAAUAAAGCAUUCAAAACAAAGCAGGCAAGCAAGCAAGCAAACAGAAACCCAUCCCACUUCUCCCUUGCUAUGCAACUAGGCAAGUAGACCCGAGGCUCUCUGAGAUUUGAAAUGCUGUGUUCCUUAACGCAGUAAACUGAGUAAUGUGUCCCCACCCCCACUCCCCAAUGUCCACAUCUUAAUUCCCGGAACCUACAAAUAUGUUAUUUUAGGCAAAAGGGACUUUGCAGCUGUGAUUAAAUUAAGGAUCUGGAGAUGGGGAGAUUAUUCUGGAUUAUCUGGGUGGGCUCAAUGUAAUCACAGGGUCCUUAUAAGAAGUAGACAAGAGGGUGAAACACAGAAGGUGAUGUGACCAUGGAAGCAGAGGGACAGAAGUAGACUGGACGAUGCUACGUCGCUGACUUUGGAGACAGAGGAAGGAGCCAUGAGACAAGGAAUCCAGGUAGCCUCUAAAACUGGAAGUCGGGAAGCAGAUAUUCCCCUAGAGCCUCCUGAAGGAACUGGCUGAGUGUUAGCUCAAUAAAACUGGGUUUGUACUUCUGAUCUCUGGAACUUUAAGAGAAUAGUUUUGCAUUGUUUUAAGUCCCGAGUUUGUGGUAUUUUGUUAUAAAAGCCAUAGGAAACGAAUACACUUGUUUACCACUUACUGCAUCUCUUAUGUCUAGUAUUGGGCUUGGUAUAUGAGAUGGACUCGUAAAGUAAUAUUUGUUGGAUGCACUGAAAAUAUAAGGGAAAGAUGUCAUGAGAAUGGAAUGUACCAAAUUCAUGGCAACUUUUUAAAUUUUUAUUUAUUUAUUUAUUUAUUUUUGAGACAGAGUCUCACUCUGUCGCCCUCAUGGAAACUUUUCUGAUUUAAAAAAUUCUCUCUUUCUUAGGAUGAAAGAAACAUUCCUUUAAGGCUCAGAAGGGUGUACAGUUACCCAGAUAUCCAUGGCAAGGCCCCAGCGGUUACAGAGUUGUGUUUGAGCCCUUCAGGCCUAGCAAGCUCUUUCCUGGGAGCAAGUAAAGGAGACAUAGGCCAUGAUAAACAGCACUUAGCGGCCAAUUGCUUUAAGAAUACCUGUUUAGUGUUUCCAGGGACUCAAAGCUCCAGGGGGACAAGCAGGAAGGAGAGGCAGUGUCAAUUACUGUACAAUACAAUUAGCAAAUACCAGCACCUUGAGGAAUGUUUGGUAUACAGUAGGCAGUCAGGAAGCAAAUGCUAGAAUGAAUGUCAUUCAGAGCGUGUGACCCCUUUCUCCUAAAGCUUCCUACAGUAGAAGUCAGUCUCCUACUACUUCUACCUUCUCUGUCUCUUUGGAUGUUCAUUUUCGUCGGAUUUUACUCAUACCUGCUGAAGAAGGGCAAAGGGGAGUACCUUUCAACCUCAGACACAGACACAUGUAUUUGUCAACAGGCCACACAUAUUCUGGGCACAGGGACUGCAGACCAUAGCAACGUACCUCACCUUUUCUGAGACCCUCAUCCUUGUUCAGUAUUUGUAAGCCUUUUAAUUUAAAGAAAAAUAAAUUAAGCCAUGCUAGCUGAUUAAAGAAUAAUUUCAAGGAAUUUAACACUUAGUGAUUAUAUUAGCGAUGUACAAUAACUUCUCACUUUGGAUUCUUUUUGAUGUAUUAUGGAGGUAAAAAUCAAUAUUUUCUACCAAACUGGAGAAAUUUAGAUGAUCUAUUUUUGAGAUAUAGGUUCAGAGAAAAAUUGAUGAUAAAGACUGGAAUAACUCUAGUUCCCCCAAGUCAACAUCUGAUUGGCCCUUAGAAUCAGAAUUUAGGAAGAGAGAGGUUUGGGAGACCACGCAGUCCUGCUUCCUCACUUCGCAGAUACGGAAACCAGGCCUAGCUGGAAUUUCCCCAGAUCACACAGCCAGGAAACAGCAGGCUCAAAACUAGGGCCUUCUGAGUCCCCAGUGCAGCAUGCAUAUGUGUCUGCCUUGUUUCAUUAUGUAAUGGUACAGCGAGUUUGGAGGCAUACAAAAACAGACAGACACCAAUCUUGCCUUCAAGGCGUUUACAAUUUAGCAGGGGAGAUAACACAUGUAUAUAAAAAACUUACUAGACAAAGUAAACAGCAGUAUGCUCUAUAAGACAGGUAUGGAUUAAAAAGGAAUCUUUAAGUCAUUGAACCCUGAGAUUCUUUUUUUUUCAUUUUUUAAAACAAUAGUAAUCAAACUUGUGAAAUAGUGAACUUCCUCCAUUUUGCAAGAUUCCUCGAAACCAAGUACUUGGAAUAUAACUUAGUUAAGGAUUGCACAACACACACCAUUUGAGUAUCUGAUUUGGAAAACUAAGCCACAGAGCCAGACCACACAAUGCACACUGGUUGGAAUCUGCUGGGCAGGUAUCUCCCCGUCUGUCCAGGCAAGCCAAAUCAAAUAAGGCCCUGAGUUAAAAAGGAAGGAAAAGUAACAGAUAAAUCUGUUGACCACCACUCUAGGAGGCCAAGGCCUCUUUCCUCCCCAUUAGUGGUGGCUUGCUCUAAGAUAAAAAUACCACACUUAAGCUGUGAUAGAGGAAAGCCCGUGGUUUGGGACCCAACUACAAAGUAACAGCAAAAGAGAGAUUAUUACUCCCUAGUGACUCUCUUUUUGGUAUAAUUAGAAGAAUAGAAAGACCACUGAAGAGUGGGAUUUGUGAGAAAUAUGGGUCAUGUGUCUGCAGCACUAGUUGCUUGCAGAAUUGGCUAUGUGGGUUGGCACACAGCACCGUGAAUAUUAGAAACCACAAAUCUCCAGGGUUUCUUGAACAAAGUAAAAGGCCUUGUCUUCAGAUUGCCAGGUUGGAGGCUGGCUUGUGGAAGAAGCCCCUGGGUGAGCUCCAAAGCUACCUACGCAUUUCUGCCUUCUCCGUCUCUUUCUUCUCCUCCUCCUCUCCCUCUCCCCAUCCCUCUCCUCUUAUUUUGGAUAUUGCAUCUUGGUGGGUCUAACUGUAGCUUUGCUUAUGCCAAUACCCCCCUGCCCCACCCCCUGGGGAAGCAGGCCCUCUCCAUGACAACUGCCGACGCAGAAUCCACAGAGCUCUGGACAAUGGGACAAACCAUAUUUCUAUGAACAAAGCCAAGGUAAGUGGAUUCCUUUGCCCCUGGAGGACUAAAGGAGUUACUCCCCAGUCAGAUUAUGCUGUAAUUGAGGGUCCAGAAAAGGAAUGAACUUCCCUGUGUAGACAACAGAGCCAGUUCUUAAAAAGCUAUGCCAGCGUGCAGACCCUUUAGAAUCUCCUCCUUGGGAGCCUGAAAUGGAAACAAAGUACUUCCCUGUGUUCACCUGUCCAAUCGUUGACUCCUCUGCAGAAUUAUUCUCUUGGGUUGUAAGUAAGCUAAGUCUUCUAUAAGGCAUACUUCAAGAAAAAAAGGAAAACAUAAAAUGAGUUUAUAAAAUCCUAAGGAUUAACUAUACCUUGGACACAGAUAAAUUGCCACGUUUAUCACUGCACUUCCCUUUAUCUCCUCCUGAGAUGCUCUCUCGGUUCCUCCUUCACUGCUCUUCAGGUUCUGGAAUAUUUCUUAGCCAACACUUCAUCCACGGUGACUUCCAGGACCCCCAGUGAGGGGUGGGGAUUCCUAUGUUGUCUCUUUUCUUGGCCUCUCCAUCCAAAAUAUUUAGAUGGUGCAUUCGUGGCCUUUCUCUCUCUCUACCACUGCCUCCUCCAAAAAAAGGAAAAGCGGGGAGUGGCGGGUGGAAGGAGAUUACAUUUUUCUUUCUUUUUUUCUUUUUUUUUUGGAGAUGGAGUCUUGCUCUGUUGUCCAGGCUGGAGUGCAGUGGCGUGAUCUCGGAUCACUGCAGCCUCUGCCUCCUGGGUUCCAGUGAUUCUCCUGCCUCAGCCUCCUGAGUAGGUGGGAUCACAGGUGUGCACCAUCACGCCCAGCUAGUUUCAUCAUGUUGGCCAGGCUGGUCUCAAACUCCUGACCUCAAGUGAUCCGCCCACCUCAGCCUCUGAAAGUGCUGGGAUUACAGGCAUGAGCCACUGUGCCUGGCCCAUUUUCUUCUCUUAUCCUUGGUGCUUUCCAUAUAGUAGGAGGUCAGGGAGAUCAAGGGGAUUCCUGGAUGCAUAAAUAAAAUCUGCAUUUCUUAGGAAUCUGAUGGACAAGAGAAUCCAGAAUCUCUGCAAUGGGCAGAAGAGAGGACCAGACUUCAUGGUUGAUCUCCCCACAGACCAUACCAACAGGGCAAAGCCCUUCUGUAUGUAUUUCUGUUUUCACAUGUAUCUGCACAACCACGUGUUUAGAAAUCAGAGGGUUGCUAUUUGUAAAACUCUUGAAAACCUCUCUUUUAAAUUGUAAAAAUUAUUUAAUAAAUGCCAACCCAAUCUACUUUAUCUCAGUGAGCUGCUAUUAAGUGCAAAGAAGAUAACAUGUUACAGGUAAGUCUGUGCUUAAAGAGCUUUGGCCACAAAGACUAAACAGGGUCCGUUCUCCCAUGUGAAGGAAAAUGUUUCUAUUUCAAUUGUGAUGUUUGGAAUUUCACCUUAAAGUAGAAAAAAGGCACUGUUUCUGUAGUGCCUUUUGGAAAGGCACUGUAGAAGUGGCUGAUGGUCCUUGUGGAAUCAGCUGGCCAAGUGUUUCCUCCUUUCUACCUAGACUGUCAUUGGAGUAUAUUGACCCAUCCCUGACAGAAAGUCUGUGUAAGCCCGAGGAGGAGGAACAUGCCGCAAACCUGCUGCAGAGCAUUAACAAGAACAGAAUUAAAAAGGAUCACUUCUGGGACUCAUCACACAACUUGGAAAUCAUGUUCAAUAAAAGAAAAGAUAAUUUGGGGCCACACUACCUGAAAUGAACAUCUGACACUCAGUCACUGGUCUGGAUUUAGAAAACUGCUUUGAUCCCCGGAGGGAAGAUUGUUAAUGAGUAUUUUAAAGGACAAGAUUGGCGAAGCAUGAUAGAGUGGAAAAGGGUACUGAUUUUGAAGGGUCCCAGUCUUGCUUCCACUUCUGUAAGCAAGUAGAACUGACUUUGAACAAGACACAUUACACUGCCCUGAGAAAACGUCCUCAUCUCUAACAUGGGAGGUGAAGUUAACCCUCUAGUCCAUCCAACAAUCAAAUCUAGGCCUUAAUGACUAUGAAAACAUGGGAAAAAAUUUAAAACAAGAGCAGGUAAUGCUUGCACCUUUUCGCUACCUGAAAGGAAGGUCAGACAACCUUAGUAUAAAAGGUAACUUUUCUUACUUGCAUGCUAACAAUCAAUGCAUAAUUUACAUAGCAAUGCAUACACUUUAUAUAGUUCAAGAGAUCAUCGUUGACUGCCUGAACUUGAUAUGCUUCAUCCUUGUCAUGUCCUCCUCACUAAAUACUAACUACCCAAAGUGAUCAAACCCCAAAUGUAAAAAUAAUCAUCUGAUAAAUCACAGACAACAAGGAGGUGAAAAAAAGAACUCAGUCAAACAUUUUUGAGUUCAUAAAAAAAUUGAAUAGCAUAAUCUACCACUAUGUUCCCAUCCCCCUGCUAAAACAAUAUUUUAUCACUCUGGCUUUAUUUAUUCCCAGUCCUCCCCAACAUACUUAUUUUCUGGAGCAUUUUAAAGUAAAUCUUGGAUAUCUUGUCAUUUCAUCCACAACUACUUCAGUCUUCAUCUCAACUAAUAAGGAUUUUUUAAAAACCACUACCACGACAGUAUUAUGCCUGACAAUAUUAAAAAAUUAUUUACUAUCAUCUAAAGAACCAAUCAAUAUUCAAAUUUCAUCAAUCAUCUAAAAAUUUUUUUUUCUUUCAGUUUUUGGCUUGAAUUAGCAUCUAAACAAGCUAAGAGGUGAAACUGAUUUCACCCAAUUCACAAUCCUUUGUCUUUUAAAUAUUUCUUUUAGACGCUGACAUUACUUAGACACAAUGUAUCUGGAACACAGAUAAUGUGAAGGUCAGCUUCAUCGCAAUAUUAUUUGAAAUGUCUUAUUCUAUGAAUCAGAUAUAAAUGUAGUUAAAGGCUCAGAACUGGAAAAAUCUCAAGUAAUUCUCAGUUUUCCCAAAUGCAUAAAUGAUUUAGGCAACCUUAAUGGAAUGCUUUAAAGAUAUUUUGCUAAAUCUUACACCAUUCCUAGGAAGAAUACCUCUGACAGACUUUAGCAGCUUUUAUUUUGCCCAUAUAAAAGCUGGAUUUCUUAGACCGUGGAGCAGCCUAACAGCACAGAUAGUAUUUUCAGUUGUAGUUUCACCUGCACCUUAAAAAGAAAUCUACCUGCAUAUGCUGGCAACGAGGACAUCUUUGAAAACAGAGCUAAGAGCCUCAAACUGUCAACUCCGACUUUUGGGAAGAAGGGAGGUGAACAGUUUCUCCAUUCAGCUUCCAUGAGGCCUCUCUGGUAACACACAGGCACUGCUGUGACUCAUAACCAGAAAUACUGUUUUAUAACACCAGUCUGUGUUUUGUAACACACACUGAAAGAAAAAAAAAACUAUUUAGAAACCAAAACCAAGCCCUACAUCUGGGCAUUGGUAUCAAGAUCUCAAGAUGUCAGAGUGGCUAUUUAAUUCAGAUAAAGUAGGCAAGUCCUUAUCCCUUUCCUUGGCAAGAAAGUGGAGGCUUCCUGCCUGCUGCACAUGCCCACAGGAGGAGCAACCAUGAAUUUAAUUUUCUUAAAACAGAAGCAUUUUCAGACUUGUGUUUUCCUGGACAGCUGCCUAGUGGCUGUAAUCCAUAAUAAGGGCGUGUAAUUGACAGUAAUGUGAAUCACUCACUGAAAUUCUGGCAAAAAAAAAAAAUAGAGGAGUUAUUUUUUUUUUUUUUCAGGAAAAAAUUAAAGAGCAGAUUCAUCCUGUCCAUUGAAAAUAGCAAUUACUUUACAUUUCAGCUCAUUAGCUACCUUUAUAUAAAAAAAUCACUGUAAUUUGUACUAACUAUCAGCAAGUGUUGUAAAGAAGUGGUGCAGUUGCACAAGGCAUGCAAUCGGAUGUGCUGGGCCAGGCACAAUCUGUAAAAUGGCAAAUGUAGAUGAGUUACUUGAUAUAGCAUACAUGGGAUUCCUGGCCCAAGAGUGAGUUACAGGACACUGUCCUAACAGUGAUUUUGCCACUUAAAAAGCUGCUAUCUGCCUGGGACCUUGUAAUUAUUAUGGUAAUACCCAGGGCAGACUGAUCAAGCUGCCAUUGAUGUCUAUGGGCAGUUUCAGAAUUCCUUUCACUCAGACACAGGGAUCUCCAAAAGAAUGGUUGGGGAUUUUCCCAGGUAGAAGCUGUUGGAACCAUGGAAACUUUGAGACCAGGUAAAGGGUUUCUCCCAUCUAUUAAUUCUCUUUGAAUAAGGGGAAGAAUAAUCUCAAUUAACUUCACUAUCAACCUGAAAGGGCCCCCUCUUUUCCAAGGCAGAGGCACGGGAACUAAACACUGGAAAGCUACGGAAGAUUUAAUUCCAUUUAGAUAAACCCUGACUCCAUCAGAACCCGAGAGGUUCAGAUAUUUUUCUGAAACUUCAGCACCUGUGAAACUAGCAGCCCUUGUCCAGAACUACCUGGUAUCUCAAGCUUCUGGUCCCAGAGGGAACAGGGGUAUUUUGACUUGUGAAAAUCCCACGAAUGCAUGGAGAAAAACUUGGGACUUUAGAAUGCUGAGGUCUGUGUUAGGAAGAUGUAUAUUGAACCAAAGAGUGGAAACACUUAACCUCUUUUUCUCAGUCAACCACACUCUAUGAAGAAGGCUUGGAUUUAUUUUCUCCUAUUGGGAUCUCCCAUUCUUAGAAGAAAAAUGGAAGUCAGAUUUCAUUAAAAUAGAGGUAAUGUUGGGAUUUUGAUGAAUGAAACUAAAAUUCAUUUUGUGCUUUAUCAUUAAUUAUUUCUGAGAAGCUUUUUCUCAUAUGACAACAGUUGGGGGAUGGUAUUAUUAGCUUAUGAUGGUUCCCAUCUUUGAUAGCCACCACUAAUCUCCUACUUAAUUCUGGCUUAAUUUGCAAGUAGUUGCUAACAGGCAAAAUGAGGGUGGAGUCUCAUAAACCACUAAAAAGAGAGACUUGCUAUGCAUAUAAAUAGGCCCUGCAAAAAUAUUUCAGAUACUGUAUCUCAAUUAUUAGACAGUAGCAAACUGUCAAAAUCUAAAAAGUAACAUGGAAUAUGUAUAACUAGUUCUUUGCAGGCAUUCUUUUUGUUCCUAUAUGAAUACAUUUUAUGUGAGCCCAAAUGGUUGGAAAUGUAUUAUUCAUUUUUAUAAUUGAGAAAAAUGUGUUAACGCUCUGGAAUGUCCAUGUGUGGAAAAAUAAAACGUUAUAUGGAAUUGCACACACAUAUGAUUUAUAAUGCAUGCUUCCAGGACCAGAAAUCCUAACGAAGAACCUUAUUCAACAGAAAAAAACAUUUUUUUUUCUUCAGUAUGUGCAAUUCUGGUAUACUGUAAUGCUGAGGCCAAGCAUAUAUUUUAUUAGUUUAAAUCCUAGCUAAGCAAUAAAAUAUGUGUCAUUUUAAAUAAAAGAAAACAUGUUUUUCACAAAA